UAUUUAUACUUCAACAGCGUUGAUUCCUUAUUGACUCUGUUAAAUUCUUGAAUUAACAUUUGAUACGGUGCAUUUCAAGCUUUUAGUUGUGGAGGAAUCUUCGCUCUGCAGUGUCUCAAGCUUUACAAGAAAUGAGUUUUUAGUUUAGAAUUGAUGACAUUUUCUUUUAUAAAGAAUGAGUUCCUAGGAAGAUUCAGUUGUCUGAAUUCUAUUUCUUACAAUCUGAAUCAUAUUUUCCGCUCUAUAAAAGGGUUUUUUUAUGUGGGUUUCUGUUCCCUGACCUUUUCAUAUAAUCAUCCUACUGGCAGGCUGCUUAAAUGUUGCUUGCAUUGGUAUCUUUCCCCUCUCGCCUGAGCUUAUCUCAGCAGCAGCCUUGCCGUUCAAAUUAUCUUCCCAGAUGUAUAAUCGCUUUUAAAGACGUAAGGAAGCCUCGCAAUCGCAUUACACGGCCUCAGAUAUUGCCAUCCACUUUUGGAGAUGCUUUUGGGUUCCGGGUUUUUGUGCUUUCUGACUUGCACACUGACUACCCUGAGAAUCUGAAAUGGGUCAACAGCUUGUCAUCUAAGAGGCACAAAAGAGAUAUUCUUCUCGUUGCUGGUGAUGUUGCUGAGACAUGUAACAACUUUUUCUUCACUAUGUCCCUUUUGAAGGAUAGAUUUCAACAUGUCUUCUAUGUUCCUGGAAAUCAUGAUCUCUGGUGUCGUUGGGAGCAAGACCAUUGUCUUGAUUCUCUUGAAAAGCUGAAUAAAUUGCUUGAUGCAUGUAGAGGACUUGGAGUUGAGACUAAACCAAUGGCUAUUGAGGGCUUGGGAAUCAUACCUUUGUUUUCUUGGUACCAUGAGAGUUUUGAUAGAGAGCAGGACAUCACUGGCAUCAGAAUUCCGUCUCUAGAGAUGGUGAUUCACUUGCUUUUCUCCUUGUAAGCGUUUCAGAAACUUUAGUUCCAAUGAGAACAUGCUUAACAAAUUCACAUAAUUAAUAAUGCUUCACAUUUUAAUUUUUGCUACAAAUAGGACCCUUGAUGUGCUGUUUUGAUUUCUAACUCGAACUUAAUUUUUGUUGCCAGUGGUAAGUCUAAUAAUUUGAUUGGAAGGUGAAUCAUAAGUUUGGAUCUCGUAGAAUAAUCACACAAAGUGUAAUUACAGUUUGGGAAGAACACCAUUUGAGUUUUCUGCCUAAAAGACAGUUAUAUCUUUCUUUCAUUUCAUUAUAUUUUCAGAAUUUAGUAGGAUUUCUGAAUAUUAGGGAAUAAUGUCCAGAACUUCUGAGUUGUAACAGGUGGAUUUUGCCUAAAACCUCGGCCAGUGGUCAAUAAUUUCUGACUCUUUGAUAAUAUUGUUUUUGUGUGGCCUUUAGUGUCUUGCAUUAAUCUGGUGAUUAAAUUCCAUCAAGUUAUAUGCAUCUUUGAUACAGCCCAAAAGUUUCUGUUGUAGGCAUGCAAGGACUUCCGUGCAUGCAAGUGGCCACAGGAACUUUCAAGCAGAGAUACCUCCCUUGCUCUCUAUUUUGAUGCAAUGAAUGAAGAAAAUGAGGAUAAAAUCAAGGUUAUCCAGAAGACUUGUUGCCAAAUAAUCACAUUUUCUCACUUUGUUCCCAGGCAAGAGCUCUGUCCAGAGAAGAGGAUGCUAUUCUAUCCAAAGCUCCCAAAAAUCAUUGGUUCUGAUUGUCUUGAGGUUCGCAUAAGAUCAAUACAUGGAACUAAGGGGAAUGCAUCUGCAUGCCAUGUGUUCGGUCAUACCCAUUUUUGUUGGGAUGCUAUGCUGGAUGGUAUCAGGUAAAUGUAUCAACUUGAUGCAACUUGCAUGCAUGAAGAAACAAUAUAUGAUGAACUUUUUGUUGGUAGUUGGUACCUGUAACCAUAAAAUAUAAUGGCAAGUCUACAAAAAUGAGCUAACUUAUGAAGCUAAGCUUGUUAAAAUGCUCUUUCAAACUCAUUCCCUGACUAAAUGAACCAAGCUUGAAUACAAAAUUUAGAUUUGAUUAUUUGGAGAAACCAAACUUGGAUAUUUCUAAACUCAAUUCCAAACAUUCAUGAACAACUUUCAGAUUGCAUAGUUAAUUUUGUUAAAACAGUAUUAUGUAUGUGUGUAUCUGUUUAUAUUGAAUCGUACAGACACUGUGACUAGUGAAUUUUUAAUAUAUUAAGAUGUUACUGACAUAUAGUGUGAGAUUUAAAAGAAAGGGUAAAUAUUAAGUAAACAUUAUGUUAAAAUCAUUUUUUGGUUGCUUACCGAUUCAACUUGUUAAAAGUUCAAGUUCAUUUGAGAAAGUGAUAAGCAACAAAUGUAUAGUGCUCAACUUGCUCAGCUCAUUUAUGGUCCUAUGCAAGGAAUGGAGGGUAACAAAGACCAAUGGAACUUGGAACUGUAAAGUUUUUAUCACUUGAAGAUGUAUUGAGCCUUGUUAGGAACAAAAUGUUUUCUUUCUGAAGAAUGUAUAGAACAAAAAUAGGUUAUAUCCUUAUUCAUAUUUUCUACAUUAACAUGGGAAAAUAAAGGGGGAAGAGAAAAGCCAGAAAGGGGAGGGGUGGGGGGUCAAGGGUAAGAGAUGCAUUCUCAUCUGUGAAGGAGCUGAUGAUAGUUCCCACUAAUAUUUGAUUAAUUGGUGGGUAGACAUAUAUUGUGACAGGUUUUUUUAAGGAGAUUCAAGAUGCAUUUCUUCAAAUUAUGUUAUGCUCUGAAACAUGUCUUAAUUGCAAGCUGUAAAGAAUUAUGGGAGUGUUGGGGCUAACUAACUGAAGAAUGCAUGAUGAAGCAAAUCUCUAAAGCCAUAAGUGAGGGCAGCUUUUGGUGUAAAUGGAGAGUUGAUGUCAUUGGCAAGUUUUGUAGACGAUAUCAAGAUCACAGAGUAAAUGUUCUUUUGCGCUUGUUUAUGAUUUGUAUUAGGGUUUGAGAUAGGAUACCUAUUAAUAUCCUUUAGCUUUGAGUCCUAAUAAGCAUUUGAGUCUCCUUUCUUUUUCAUUAUUUUUGCAAUAGCCUUGUCUUGUAGAUUAUAGGCAUGGGCUCAGGUAGAGGUUUCUUGUAGGCCUUCUUGGGUGAAAUAAUAUUUACUUUCAUGGAGGAGUUAGUAUUAUCAUCUUCUACUCACUGUAUGGGGUGGCGGUUGGGUCCUCGUGAUGUUUUUCCAUCUUUGUUUGCUUUUUUGGUUUGAAAUUGAUUCACGUGCAAUCAAAUGUUUGUAUUAUGUGAGGCUGAUUAACCUGUAUUUUAUAGGCUACGUUAUCUUGGGUCUGAUAUGGGAUUCUUCUCUACUGCCUGGAGUAAACCAGGAUCCAAUUUUUCAAUGUAUUGAGAGAUGCUUGGCUAGGUGAAUUUUGUUGAGAUUGGAACAAGUAAACAGAUUAUUAAAGCAUAGACUUUUGAAGCUGAACAUGGGUAAGUUUCAUGGAAUAAUAUGCAUAUGUGGAGGUGAUGGUACUUGUCAGUUUUGUAUGGUAGGAACAGUGGAUGCAAAAAGUAACUAUGAGACAUGGGAAAGCUAAGGUAUGCUUUUUAGAUAGGCAACAUGAAUGGUAAUAUAGAUUCAUACUUGCUGAGGGAUUAUAAUUUUGCUAUUUCUUCCCUUAAUAAUGUUAAGUCUUCUUUUUUCUUUUGAUCAAUAUGUUUUGAUUCAGUUAUACAAGGAUGUGAGUGUCCAACAGAUCAAAAAAAGGAUGCGAGUGUCCUUUAAUGGAGUGAGAUAAUAUUAAAUAUUGAAAGCAAGCUGCUCAUUUGUGUUGUUUCGCAGCAAGGAGUAGAAUGAAGUGAUUUUUAUGUGCCAGUCGUACUAGCUUGAAUCUUGAUUAGGAACAAAGUUGUCGAUUACAUGAUCUAAUUAGUUGUGUGCGUUCGGCAUAACGUAGGGAUGUGGUUCACUCAAUUUAGUUUUGGUAGAGUGCUUCGUUCUUUUUCACUUAUAGAUGUGGUUCAUCCCUACUAGAUUGCAAUCUGUUGUUAAAAUUGAAAGUCUUAUCUUCAGAAAGAUGUAUUGGUACAUACUUCAAAUAAUUGCCAUAACAUUGAAACUUGUCUACCACUAAGAGGUAUUAAUUUGAAGCAUGGAUGCAUCUCAUAAUAAAAUUGAGAAACUCAAAUCUCAUGUGCGUGGCGUGGUGCAGGUAUGUACAGGCACCAUUGGCAUACCCCAGGGAAAGGAAGAGGAGGAUGAAUGGGGGUGAAACUUGGCUGCCAUUUUGUAUCUAUUCUGAUGGGAAUUUCGCUGAUAGACUCUCACCUUGUUAUUGGUCUGAUUAUUAUGCAGCCAAUCCAAGAGCACCUCAUAACACCGAACUUGCUCCGUGGGUUGCCAGAUUCUAUAACCGACUGUAACAAAACGCGGAUUUUACCUCUAGGAAAGUCUGUCUCGCUCCAUUUGUCAAUUAUUUGUCCGUUGUGCAGCUGCAAUGCAUAUUCACCGCGUCUCAGUAGUGCAGUGUAGAACUUUAGAUGAGUGGUCAUUUGCAUGAAUACUAGUGCAAACAGUGUUUGCCUCCUGAGUGCUAGUCCAGUGAGCAGCUUUAAAGGCCAAAAUUUGUUGGCCACUUGGCUCACUUUAAGAUUGCCAUUUGUGCAUCGUUAGAUUAUUACUGUAUCACAAUGCCAUCAUUAUUUGUCAUGCAUUUAUUUAGGAGUUGUAUAAGUGGCAAGUGAACAGUUUGUGUAUCAGAAUACAAGUGACCUUAAAUGCCAAAUUUUUACUAAGAAAUGCAUCAUUCUUCU
This 4697-nucleotide unclassified non-coding RNA is filed under the name Hevea brasiliensis (rubber tree). The record is from RNAcentral. Lineage: Eukaryota; Viridiplantae; Streptophyta; Magnoliopsida; Malpighiales; Euphorbiaceae.